This 1492-nucleotide ribosomal RNA is filed under the name uncultured Bordetella sp. RNAcentral's name for it is "partial 16S-23S ribosomal RNA intergenic spacer". It matches the Rfam family "Bacterial small subunit ribosomal RNA". Lineage: Bacteria; Pseudomonadati; Pseudomonadota; Betaproteobacteria; Burkholderiales; Alcaligenaceae. The record is from RNAcentral.
ACAGAGGGUUCGAUUCUGGCUCAGAUUGAACGCUGGCGGGAUGCUUUUACACAUGCAAGUCGAACGGCAGCACGGACUUCGGUCUGGUGGCGAGUGGCGAACGGUGAGUAAUGUAUCGGAACGUGCCUAGUAGCGGGGAUAACUACGCGAAAGCGUAGCUAUACCGCAUACGCCCUUCGGGGAAAGCGGGGGACCUUCGGGCCUCGCACUAUUAGAGCGGCUGAUAUCGGAUUAGCUAGUUGGUGGGGUAACGGCUCACCAAGGCGACGAUCCGUAGCUGGUUUGAGAGGACGACCAGCCACACUGGGACUGAGACACGGCCCAGACUCCUACGGAGGCAGCAGUGGGGAAUUUUGGACAAUGGGGGAAACCCCGAUCCAGCCAUCCGGCGUGUGCGAUGAAGGCCUUCGGGUUGUAAAGUACUUUUGGCAGGGAGGGUAAGAAUGGGCACGGGAUAAUACCCCGUGCAACUGACGGUACCUGCAGAAUAAGCAUCACAACUACGUGCCAGCAGCCGCGUAAUACGUAGGUGCAAGCGUUAAUCGGAAUUACUGGGCGUAAAGCGUGCGCAGUGGUUCGGAAAGAAAGAUGAAAUCCCAGAGCUUAACUUUGGAACUGCAUUUUUAACUACCGAGCUAGAGUGUGUCAGAGGGAGGUGGAAUUCCGCGUGUAGCAGUGAAAUGCGUAGAUAGCGUGGAGGAACACCGAUGGCGAAGGCAGCCUCCUGGGAUAACACUGACGCUCAUGCACGAAAGCGUGGGAGCAAACAGGAUUAGAUACCCUGGUAGUCCACGCCCUAAACGAUGUCAACUAGCUGUUGGGGCCUUCGGGCCUUGUAGCGCAGCAGCUAACGGGCAGGAAGUUGACCGGGGCCUGGGGAGUACGGUCGCAAGAUUAAAACUCAAAGGAAUUGACGGACUCGCACAAGCGGUGGAUGAUGUGGAUUAAUUCGAUGCAACGCGAAAAACCUUACCUACCCUUGACAUGUCUGGAAUCCCGGAAGAGAUUUGGGAGUGCUCGCAAGAGAACCGGAACACAGGUGCUGCAUGGCUGUCGUCAGCUCGUGUCGUGAGAUGUUGGGUUAAGUCCCGCAACGAGCGCAACCCUUGUCAUUAUUGCUACGAAAGGGCACUCUAGUCGAGACUGCCGGUGACAAACCGGAGGAAGGUGGGAUGACGUCAAGUCCUCAUGGCCCUUAUGGGUAGGGCUUCACACGUCAUACAAUGGUCGGGACAGAGGGUCGCCAACCCGCGAGGGGGAGCCAAUCCCAGAAACCCGAUCGUAGUCCGGAUCGCAGUCUGCAACUCGACUGCGUGAAGUCGGAAUCGCUAGUAAUCGCGGAUCAGCAUGUCGCGGUGAAUACGUUCCUGGUCUUGUACACACCGCCCGUCACACCAUGGGAGUGGGUUUUACCAGAAGUAGUUAGCCUAACCGUAAGGAGGGCGAUUACCACGGUAGGAUUCAUGACUGGGGUGAAGUCGUAACAAGGUAA